RNAcentral lists this ribosomal RNA (578 nucleotides) under Inocybe sp. LM2714. Its description in RNAcentral is "eukaryotic LSU rRNA". The stretch from base 201 to 354 matches the Rfam family "5.8S ribosomal RNA". The record is from RNAcentral. Lineage: Eukaryota; Fungi; Basidiomycota; Agaricomycetes; Agaricales; Inocybaceae.
CAUUAUUGAAUAAACUUGAACAGGCUGUUGCUGGUGGAAACAUGUGCACGCUUGUCAUCUUUAUAUCUCCCCAUGUGCACAUUUUGUAGACCCUGAUGUUUUAAAGGAUUGCUUAUUGCUUUCCUUGUCAGGUCUAUGUUAUUUUCACAAUCUCUUUGAAAUGUAUUGGAAUGUUGGAUAUAUUAAUAAAAAGUUGAUACAACUUUCAGCAACGGAUCUCUUGGCUCUCGCAUCGAUGAAGAACGCAGCGAAAUGCGAUAAGUAAUGUGAAUUGCAGAAUUCAGUGAAUCAUCGAAUCUUUGAACGCAUCUUGCGCUCCUUGGUAUUCUGAGGAGCAUGCCUGUUUGAGUGUCAUUAAAUUCUCUCAACCACACAAUUGUGUUGUGGCUUGGAUAAUGGAGGGUGCAGGCUUUUGAAGUCAAGCUCCUCUAAAAUAUAUAAGUAGUGGUCAGAGAAACUACAGAUGUGAUAAAUUAUCUACAUCUUAGUGUAUGCACUGCUUCUAACCCUCCUUUGUUUUUUGAUGUAUUUGACCUCAAAUCAGGUAGGACUACCCGCUGAACUUAAGCAUAUCAAUA